AACGAACGCUGGCGGCAUGCCUAACACAUGCAAGUCGAACGAGAUCUUCGGGUCUAGUGGCGCACGGGUGCGUAACGCGUGGGAAUCUGCCCUUUGGUUCGGAAUAACAGUUGGAAACGACUGCUAAUACCGGAUGAUGACGAAAGUCCAAAGAUUUAUCGCCAGAGGAUGAGCCCGCGUAGGAUUAGCUAGUUGGUGUGGUAAAGGCGCACCAAGGCGACGAUCCUUAGCUGGUCUGAGAGGAUGAUCAGCCACACUGGGACUGAGGACACAGCCCAGACUCCUACGGGAGGCAGCAGUGGGGAAUAUUGGACAAUGGGCGAAAGCCUGAUCCAGCAAUGCCGCGUGAGUGAUGAAGGCCUUAGGGUUGUAAAGCUCUUUUACCCGGGAUGAUAAUGACAGUACCGGGAGAAUAAGCUCCGGCUAACUCCGUGCCAGCCGCCGCAGUAA
RNAcentral lists this ribosomal RNA (450 nucleotides) under uncultured bacterium. RNAcentral's name for it is "partial 16S ribosomal RNA". It matches the Rfam family "Bacterial small subunit ribosomal RNA", at positions 29 to 523 of the family's 1533-position model. The record is from RNAcentral.